This 1364-nucleotide long non-coding RNA is filed under the name Ananas comosus (pineapple). RNAcentral describes it as "long non-coding RNA (ACOM_LNC035651)". The record is from RNAcentral. Lineage: Eukaryota; Viridiplantae; Streptophyta; Magnoliopsida; Poales; Bromeliaceae.
AAGUCGGUGAUGUUGAGGCCGAACCCACUGGGAACUUUGUUGUAGUUCUCACCCCACUAUUUCCACAGAGCCGGGACCGAGCGAGCCGGCGAGCGACCGAGGUAAAGGUAUCGCGCCUUAGUAAGAGGCCACCAAAGUUGGGUACAUUUUGUUAGCAAACACCCUUUUGUCAUCUUUUGUAUUUGAUGAUUAGCAAUGUGAAGAAAAGAAUGUAAAGCUUAUUUUGAGGUAAAUGUGAUGUAAGAAAGAAAUGAUGGAAUUAUAUAAUGAAAUGUAAAGAAUCCUAAAUGUAACAGAUGGAUGCAAUGUAUAUGAUCUAAUAUGAAUCAUACUAUUUGUGUAGAAGUUUAGUUUUCCUAUCUUUCACUAAUGGCUACUGCUUACCCUCGUGUAAGCCGUUUGUGUAUGUUUCCGCUAGUGCAAUUUUUGUUUGAAUUUUGUACAUGUGAUGUAACACACUGGACCUUUGCAAAUUGCGAGGUUCGAGUGUUUGGAUGUAUUCCGAACUUUUCCACACUUGGUGGAGGGCCGUCAAUGGUAUACCGGUCUAAAAGUUCGAUCUCGAGAGUUUCGGCUGAGUCCUGAGAGUUUUACUCUCGGAGACCGGUCCCUGAUAGGAGAGACCGGUCCCCCUGUGAACAGUGCUGCGUAGCCGGCGAGGCAACCGGUCCCUGGCAGUCGAGACCGGUUCCCGAGCGCGUUCUCGCAGUGAGAGACCGGUCCCGCGCAGGGAGAGACCGGUUCCCGAACGCUGGUUUUCGGGUUCGCAGCGAGAGACCUGUCACGCCCCGAGCCCGCCUCUUUGGUCGGAUUCGGGCACGCCAACAGACCGCCGAACGGACAGGGUUUCCCCUGCACGCGGACAGAGUCUCCCCUGUACGUUCAAGGCGUCGCAAUCAAUACAAUUACAAGAGGUUCCAAACAGGAACAAUUAUCAACAACGAUUGCAUAAGGAAGGUAUCAAACAACAUAACACAUCCUAUAUUAUUACAAUCAUUCAUCUCAUCAUUUUACAUCGCAUUUUUCAUUACAUUGAUUCUCAACUUUCAAAUAUACAAUCGAUUUCUAAACAUAACAUUACAACAUCGAUUCUUUUCUUUUCUUUUCUUAUACCCCUAAGAAGCCGACUCAGGGUGCUGCUAUCUGGUCUCUGUGGUAGGGCGCUAACUACGGAGCUACGCCCUUUCCUCGCGCCGCCGCGCCGCUCGCGUGUGAACCUGUACCCCCAAAAACAACAACACGGGGGUGAGACUAUUGUCCAUAGUCGUCAGUGGGUACAGCCACCCAAGUGAAAAGCUCAACCCACCAGGUCCAAAGGAGGCACUGCAACAUGUUAGUCCAACAGAUAUAUAUAUAUAUAUAUA